Molecule: ribosomal RNA, 256 nt
Filed under: uncultured bacterium
Lineage: Bacteria
Description: partial 16S ribosomal RNA
Rfam family: Bacterial small subunit ribosomal RNA
Source: RNAcentral
UACGGAGGGUGCAAGCGUUAUCCGGAUUCACUGGGUUUAAAGGGUGCGUAGGCGGGUUGGUAAGUCCGUGGUGAAAUCUCCAAGCUUAACUUGGAAACUGCCGUGGAUACUAUCAAUCUUGAAUAUAGUGGAGGUGAGCGGAAUAUGUCAUGUAGCGGUGAAAUGCUUAGAUAUGACAUAGAACACCCAUUGCGAAGGCAGCUCGCUACACUAUUAUUGACGCUGAGGCACGAAAAGCGUGGGGGAUCAAAACAGG